Long non-coding RNA from Alosa sapidissima (American shad), 815 nucleotides. RefSeq lists it as uncharacterized. The transcript has 3 exons. Lineage: Eukaryota; Metazoa; Chordata; Actinopteri; Clupeiformes; Clupeidae. The record is from RefSeq and is a predicted model, not a curated record.
AAAACACACGUUACAGAAGUUAGAGGUAGCUGGUGUUGUCAGCAUACAGAAUAUGCUUACUUGGCCUAGAAGCUACUAAUUUCUACAUCAUUCUCACCUAUAAAUUACGUAUGUUGUAGCCUAGCACGUGCGUAAAUCAAUGAGAAUAAUGCAAUUUAUGUAUCUAAACAUGUUUUGUUUUUUUGAACCUGCAACACAAAAAGGAAGUCAACUAGGGGAGUUUGAUGGAGCUAUAUUUUUAACCCUAUUCACCUGUAAUGCAUUAACAAUGCAGGCGUAUGUUAAUAAGCUCAUUCAGCCUGUUAAACAAAAUAUUCAGAAUCAAUAGCUCAAAAUUAUAUGAAAUGGUCUGUUCACUGGCCUCACCUCAAAUUUGCCAUCAGAAGAUCAUCUUUGAGAAUGUGGUCCCAGUUUGUGGCAGCCUUAGAAAUACUGCAUGUCAAUUGUUUGUGUGUCGUGUUUAAUAUAAUUGAAUGUUGCAUUGCAAUAUUACAACAGUUGUCACAAUUUCUCACAUAUUUCUUUUUCACAGCACAGAGUAAUAGUCUUUUUCCAUUCACGUCUUCCACGUCCACAUCCACGUGGUUGUGUUGCAGACUUGAAGUUAAGCACAGAGUAAUAGUCUUUUUAAAGACUUUUCCAUUCACGUCUUCAUUGGUUGUGUUGCAGACUUGAAGUUCAGGCUUGUUCCAGACCAGACCAGUUUGGUGGCUGGGUCCCUGUCUGUGUGCACAACACACUGACAACAUAACCUACUAAUAUACAUACAAACAUAUCUGAGCACAUAUUGGAGCACAUACCUAUCUGAACAUAUC